GAGAAAUAAAAAUAUUUCCUAAUCAUCAGUAAUUAAUAUAAGUAAGCGCAGUUCAAAAAAAAUGAUUGAAGAUGACGCAGGCAAUAAUUAUGUUGAUGGGAUUCGAAGUUUUAAAACUAAAUUUAUAUAUUAAUAAUAUAAAUAUAAAUUUAAAUUAUGCCAGCGUGAAAAGGCGGCGGAGUUAUUUUGUUACAAUAGCGUCAUUUCCGGCUUCUAUGGAAUUCAAACUCUUGUCCGUUGACCCGCAUGCUUAUCUCGACGCGUGGAGAAGGAUAUUGAAUUUAUUGGGCUUCCUUCCGACAGAUAACCGUCCAUGUGUGCAGGCCAGGAUGUGCCGGAUGGUAAUUUGAUAAAACUUAGAAACUGAUCAGCUUUUAACGCGAUGGACACCUGAAAAUUAGUAUAUUUAUAAAGAAGCCUC
Long non-coding RNA from Microplitis mediator, 421 nucleotides. RefSeq lists it as uncharacterized. NCBI's taxonomy places the organism in Eukaryota, Metazoa, Arthropoda, Insecta, Hymenoptera, Braconidae. The transcript is spliced from 3 exons. The record is from RefSeq and is a predicted model, not a curated record.